GACGAACGCUGGCGGCGUGCUUAACACACGCAAGUCGAACGGAAAGGCCCUGCUUUUGUGGGGUGCUCGAGUGGCGAACGGGUGAGUAACACGUGAGUAACCUGCCCUUGACUUUGGGAUAACUUCAGGAAACUGGGGCUAAUACCGGAUAGGAGCUCCUGCUGCAUGGUGGGGGUUGGAAAGUUUCGGCGGCUGGGGAUGGACUCGCGGCUUAUCAGCUUGUUGGUGGGGUAGUGGCUUACCAAGGCUUUGACGGGUAGCCGGCCUGAGAGGGUGACCGGCCACAUUGGGACUGAGAUACGGCCCAGACUCCUACGGGGGGCAGCAGUGGGGAAUAUUGCACAAUGGGCGGAAGCCUGAUGCAGCAACGCCGCGUGCGGGAUGACGGCCUUCGGGUUGUAAACCGCUUUCGCCUGUGACGAAGCGUGAGUGACGGUAAUGGGUAAAGAAGCACCGGCUAACUACGUG
This 468-nucleotide ribosomal RNA is filed under the name uncultured bacterium. Its description in RNAcentral is "partial 16S ribosomal RNA". It matches the Rfam family "Bacterial small subunit ribosomal RNA", at positions 28 to 507 of the family's 1533-position model. The record is from RNAcentral.